This 254-nucleotide ribosomal RNA is filed under the name uncultured bacterium. RNAcentral's name for it is "partial 16S ribosomal RNA". It matches the Rfam family "Bacterial small subunit ribosomal RNA", at positions 524 to 776 of the family's 1533-position model. The record is from RNAcentral.
UACGUAGGGGGCGAGCGUUGUCCGGAUUUAUUGGGCGUAAAGAGCUCGUAGGCGGUUUGGUAAGUCGGGUGUGAAAUCUCCACGCUCAACGUGGAGGGGCCACUCGAUACUGCCAUGACUCGAGUCCGGUAGAGGAGUGUGGAAUUCCCGGUGUAGCGGUGAAAUGCGCAGAUAUCAGGAGGAACACCGGUGGCGAAGGCGGGUCUCUGGGCAGUAACUGACGCUGAGGAGCGAAAGCGUGGGUAGCGAACAGG